Erinaceus europaeus (western European hedgehog) is the source of this 3868-nucleotide long non-coding RNA. RefSeq lists it as uncharacterized. The transcript has 4 exons. Lineage: Eukaryota; Metazoa; Chordata; Mammalia; Eulipotyphla; Erinaceidae. The record is from RefSeq and is a predicted model, not a curated record.
UCUAUGUUCUUUUGCUACAUAUUGGUAUAAAAUUCAAGUAUUUGUCAAAUUAUUAAGUCAAACCAGAGUACUAUGAAAUUUGUAUAUUGACAUAAUAGUUUUGAAAAAUACUAGCAGUAGGAGUAGAAGUUUUAUGUUUUUGCUUUAGUUAUAAAAUACUGUCUUUUAACAUCUAGAGUCCUAAUACAGUAAUGCAGUGAUACACUGGCUUUUAUAGUCAUGUUUCAUUCAACGAAUUUGCUAUAUUCUCAUCUUCUCAUCUGUAGAGAAGCAGUGUGAGUGGUGUGGCAAGAGUAGCAGAUAGCUUGGGUCCAAAUUCUCUCUUUGCCACACCAAUCAUACCAAAUUGAGCUUAACUUGUUUAGUUUUUCUGAAACUCAGGCCUUUUGCUUUUUGUUAUUUUGAGACUCAGUUUUAUCUACUAUAAAAUAAUAAUUAGGUCAUAGUGAUGGCUGUGUAUACCACACCAAAAAAACCCCUGAGGAUCAACUAAGAUAGUGAGCAAAGAAAUACUUUUUAAGCUGUACAGUAAUAUAAAAAUGUCAGUAAUUGGGAGUCGGGCUGUAGCGCAGCGGGUUAAGCGCAGGUGGCGCAAAGCACAAGGACCGGCAUAAGGAUACCGGUUCGAACCCUGGCUCCCCACCUGCAGGGAAGUCGCUUCACAGGCGGUGAAGCAGGUCUGCAGGUGUCUAUCUUUCUCUCUUCCUCUCUGUCUUCCCCUCCUCUCACCAUUUCUCUCUGUCCUAUCCAACAACGAUGACAACAACAAUAAUAACGACAACAAUAAAACAACAAGGGCAACAAAAGGGAAUAAAUAAAUAAAAUAAAAUAUUUUUAAAAAUGUAAAAAAAAUGUCAGGAAUUACUGUAUUUUUACUUUUCUUUAAAUAUCUGGGGGAAAUAGAGGAAGUGAAAUUAAUAUAUUAUAAUCCUUUCUUUCAUAAGGAUUAAUAUUUUAUUUAUUAUCUUUGAUAGAGACAAGAAGAUAGAAAAGGAGAGAGACACCUGCAGCACUGCUUCACAGCUUGUGAAGUCUGCCCCCCUGCAGGUGGGAACUGGGGACAUGAACCUAGGUCUUUGCACACUAUAAUGUGUGUGCUCAACCCAGUGUGCCACUGCCUGGCCCCGUUAGAAGGAUAAAUGAACAGAUUGGAAAGAUGUCUGCCAAGGUCUUCUAUAACUCUAGCAUAAUUUUUCUGAAGCUAUUGGUACAACAAAUGGGAUUUGCCUCAAGCAUAAUCACUUGAAUUUGCUUUCUUAAUGUCAAGAUCAGUAGUUUUCUCCCUUAGACUGAGACUCUUUAUCAUCUCAUAGAAUAAUCUUAAAGAUUCUUUGUUGAUCUGGGUAAGAUAUAAACUCAAAAAAAUUCAUUUUUUUCUUCAUUUGGCGCUGUGGUGUGUCUCCUCUGUUUUUACAGUAAAGAAACACAAACAAACACAACAAAAGAUUACAAUAGGAGCAGUAAGACCAUACAGAUGAGACAAAAGCAGAGAGAUUAAAUGUUUAACAACUGUUUUACAAACAGAUUUACAACUGGAAAGUGGCAGAACCAAGAUUUAGAAACAGGUAAACUUGAUUUCAGAAUUUGUUUUUCUUUUUUUAAAUUUUUUUAAAAUUAAUUUAUUCCCUUUUGUUGCCCUUGUUGUUUUAUUGUUGUAGUUACUAUUGAUGUUGUUGUUGGAUAGGACAGAGAGAAAUGAAGAGAGGAAGGGAAGACAGAGAGGGGGAGAGAAAGACACCUAUAGACCUGCUUCACCACCUGUGAAGCGAUUCCCCUGCAGGUGGGGAGCUGGGGGCUGGCACCUGGAUCUUUACUCUGGUCCCUGCGUUUUGCACCACGUGUACUUUACCCGCUGUGCUACUGCCUGACUCCCCAGAAUUUGUGUUUCUAGCCACUGAACAGACCCCAAGCUUUGAGGACAUACUCCUCAAGCUAUGCAACAAGCUAUGAAGAGGAAGAGGACAGCCUUUAAAACUUAGUAUUCCAUUGUUAAUUUUACUUUUUUUUUUUUUUUUGCCACUGGUGUUAUCACUGGGGUACAGUGCUAUGACUCCACCAUUCUUGGAAGCCAUUUUUUCCUUUUCUUCUAGUUAGAUGAUGAUGACAGUGAGAGAAAGAGAAAGACAGUGAGAGACAAACUGCAGCAUUACUCCCACUGCUCCACGAUUUGUGAAACCUUAUCCUUGCAGGGUCUCUGCCAUGUGGCUUCCCAGGGGCUUGAACUGGGUCCUCAUGCAUAGUGACAAGUCUGCUUUAUCCAAGCAAUCAGUGCCAUAAACUGAAGAAACAUCUUUUAAAAUGCAAAGUACUUCAUGAAAAGUUGAUACCUGAUUCAAAGAUUGUACAUAGAAUUGGGUUUGGAUUGUCAUGAGACAGUUUAUUGUGGAGACAUAACCUAGGAUUUCUUUUAUCAAAACAUUGAAAUGAAAUUGUUCUGAUAAUUCAUGGAUAAAAUUUUUGAUCUUCAUCCUGGACAUUCAAAGAUUCCCAUUGACUUUUGUAAAAGGGUUAUUGCUGGGACUCAAUGGCUACACUACAAAUCCAUUGUUCCUGGAGGCCACCUUUUCCCCUUUGUAGCCCUUGUUGUUCAUUGUUGUUGUUGCUAUUAUUAUUGUUGUUGCUGAAGUCGAGGGAGGAAAGGAAGACAGGGAGAGAAAGAUAGACACCUGCAUACUUGCUUCACUGCUUACAAAGUGACCCCUACAGGUGGGGAACCGAGGGCUGGAACUGGGAUCCUUAUGCAAGUCCUUGUGCUUCGCGCUACUCGUCUGGCCCCUGAUAAUUCUAUUCUUUUUUUUUUAAAUUAGAUUUCUUUUUAUUUAUUCCCUUUUCGUUGCACUUGUUGUUUUAUUGUUGUAGUUAUUAUUGUUGUUAUUGAUGUCGUUGAUAGGACAGAGAAAUGGAGAGAGGAGGGGAAGACAGAGGGGGAGAGAAAGACACCUGUAGACCUGCUUCACCACUUGUGAAGCAACUCCCCUGUAGGUGGGGAGCUGGGGACUCGAACAGGGAUGAUUCUUAUGCCAUUCCUUGUGAUUUGAACCACCUGUGCUUUACUGUGCUACAGUUCGACUCCCGAUAAUUCUAUUCUUAAUUAACUAUAUGAACUGAGAUCUGUAAGCCAGGAAGCACUUUUAAAGAAAACUUUAUUUGCUGUCAGGUUUUUGCUGGGACUUCAUGCCUGCACAAUUCCACUGCUCUGAGUAGGCUUUUAAAGAUAGGAGGUGAGAGAUAAGAAAGGAAAGAUUUCACGGUACUGUUCUAUCACUUAUGAAGUUUCCCCUUUGCCUUGUACCUAUGUGGUGGCAACGAGUUUGAAUCUGGCUUCUUGUGUAUAGUGUGCCCUACUGGGUGAGCUACCUCCUGGUAUUUAUUUAUUUACUCAUUUAUUUUUAAGAGAGGGAAACAGACAUACAAGAUCACUGGCUGGCUAGCUCUGGCUUAUUUAGUAUUAGGGACUGAACCUGGCAUCUCUGGGACCUCAAACAUGAAAGACCUAUAUUCUUUUUUUUUUUUUUUUUUCCUCCUCCAGGGUUAUUGCUGGGCUCGGUGCCUGCACCAUGAAUCCACCGCUCCUGGAGGGCAUUUUUCCCCCCUUUUGUUGCCCUUGUUGUAGCUUCGUUGUGGUUAUUAUUAUUGCCCUUGUUGACACAAUUCGUUGUCGGAUAGGACAGAGAGAAAUGGAGAGAGGAGGGGAAGACAGAGAGAGAGGGGAGAGAAAGACAGACACCUGCAGACCUGCUUCACCGCCUGUGAAGCGACUCCCCUGCAGGUGGGGAGCCGGGGGCUCGAACCGGUAUCCUUAUGCCGGUCCCUGCGCUUUGCGCCACAUGCGCUUAACCCACUGCGCCACCGCCCGACCCCCAAGACC